UACGUAGGGUGCAAGCGUUGUCCGGAAUUAUUGGGCGUAAAGAGCUCGUAGGCGGUUCGUCGCGUCUGCUGUGAAAACUCGGGGCUUAACUCCGGGCCUGCAGUGGGUACGGGCAGACUAGAGUGCGGUAGGGGAGACUGGAAUUCCUGGUGUAGCGGUGAAAUGCGCAGAUAUCAGGAGGAACACCGGUGGCGAAGGCGGGUCUCUGGGCCGUAACUGACGCUGAGGAGCGAAAGCGUGGGGAGCGAACAGG
This 253-nucleotide ribosomal RNA is filed under the name uncultured bacterium. RNAcentral describes it as "partial 16S ribosomal RNA". It matches the Rfam family "Bacterial small subunit ribosomal RNA", at positions 524 to 776 of the family's 1533-position model. The record is from RNAcentral.